GUUACCCAAUGGGUUGAGGGGGGGCACAUGAACGCUGGUUACCCAAUGGGCUGAGAGAGGAGUGGGGGGGGCACAUGAAAGAAGGUAUUAGUGAAAAGUCUUAGCAAAAAUACUGUCAUUCUUUUGGAGAAAAAUACACAAAGGUUGAUCAAAUCUACACAUCAAACUAAUGGCACAUACAUGUACAGGAUCAAAUACAAAUGAAAAAACACAUCAACAUAUCAGCUGAAAUGUUCAAAGAAAAAAAAACUUUUUUUAAAAGGUUGAAAGUGCUAGAAUUCAGAUUAGCUCACAGAAACCCAGAGAGGACAAGACUAAAUACUAAUAACUUUUCAUUUGUUUUAUCAAUAAAUGAAUAAAAAGAUAAAUGCUACAUUUGAAUCCUACAAUUGUGUCUGGAAUUGAACAUAGCCACGGUCUUUUAAAAUGUAUACUUGAUAUAAAAAGGCUAUGACAUAACCUUCUUUUUUUUCUUUUUUACAUUUAUACCAAUAUUUAUAUCCAACUUCCUCUGUAAGAAACAGUCAAACUCUUUCAAAUGUAAGAAUCGCAUGUAUCAUGAUCAAUCAGGACAUGUUCAUAGUUUAGACAAUGUACCAGCCUAGAGGAGGAUUUUCCAGGAACAGACUGGUUAGUGUCAACUUGAACACACCUGCACUUAUUACCUCACAAGCAUUGGUUGGCAGUGGCACUAUUUGUAACAACCAAACAAACAUGAACUUAAAUCCAAAUGAUACAACAUGUAUUUUAAUGAGCAAUUGUGCAAGAUUUAGUUUCCUCUCUCUGGGUUUUGGUAAGAAAAAUUGAAAAAAAAAAAUUAAAAAAUGAGGUGAUGUGUUGUGUUGUUUCGAGGUCCUGUUUUUAACAAACAGAAAAAAAUAUAGCAUAUGACAACAACAAAAUACGACUAAGAAAUAUCCCAUUCAGGCGUCCCAUGCUUUGAAUGUCAAAGAGCAGGCUGGUGACUUGUCUGUUCUGGAUAUUGUCCUUUUUAGAUAGACCCUUUUGUCUUGAAUCUAGGAAGCAGCUGAGUGAGGAGGAGUACAGGAGAGGAAGGGAAACACUUCAAAUCGCUACUACUGAAAUGUUCUAGUGCUCUACAGUUGCUGAGCAACCGUAGCUAAAAGCAGCCGUAUGUUUUAUUUCUUUAUUUUUACAUUUCUACUUGACUUAUACUUGAAACUACGUAUUCACUAAUAGAUGCCUGUGGACUGGGCUCAGUACUCAAACAGACAAAAGUCAAGGGGUUUUGAGACAAGUUGCAAACCAAGAGGAUGAUAUUCAUACCGUAAAGAUUAGUCCUUGUACUCUCCAGGCAGAAUCUAUCUUUUAACGUUGUCCAUCCUACAAACAUAACUCACGGGACACAAAUAAGAGCACCUGUUAUAGUUUUAUAACUUUGGGCUUAAGUUUUCAAAAGGCUAGUGAAUAUGAAGAAAAAAAAGGCAUCUAAAAUCGGGUCGCUUCGUUUACUUAGGGUCAGGUUGGGUUUCAUACUGAGAAAGUAGAGAAUGAAUUGAAACUGGAGAGUCUAUCAAUGUUAUCUAUGUUGACUGCUAUUUCAUUAUUAUUCCACUAACAGCCUACUAAAACAUUUGUCAAAAUCCACAAUCCAAGUUUCUGCUACUAACUCAAGUAGGUAAAGGUAAAGAUCAAGGUAAAGAUCAAGGUAAAGUUCAAGGUAAAGAUCAAGGUAAAGGUAAAGGUAAAGAUCAAGGUAAAGAUCAAGGUAAAGUUCAAGAUCAAGGUAAAGUUCAAGAUCAAGGCAAAGAUCAAGUUAAAGAUCAAGAUCAAGGUAAAGAUCAAGAUCAAGAUCAAGGCAAAGAUCAAGGUAAAUAUCAAGAUCAAGGUAAAGAUCAAGGUAAAUAUCAAGGUAAAGAUCAAGAUCAAGAAUGAAUACAGAGGAGAAAAGCUAAAGGGCAAAGCUAAUAAUUCAUCCUUUUUUGAGCAAUAAAAUGUCAGAUACACACAAAUGUAAACCUGCCAGACAUUAAACAUCAUCACUUUGUACACCUUACUGAGAUAAAAGCAAUAAUAAUAUUCAUUUUUGAUGAGAUAUUUUGUACACUGCAAUAACAUUCUCUUACACCUUUUCCUCAAUGUCGUCGUUGUCAUUUUUGUUUGCUAUUCACAUAUGUCAGGGUGGUUAUUACCAUGCAUCUCUAACAGAGAGAAAAUAUAUUUGUUUUCAUCAACAACAACAAAAAAAUACAUAUCAGUAAUGUGUGGCAUAUUGUUACCAUGGAGACUUCUUAAAACAAAUACUGGAAGGAAGACAGUUGAAGGAAGGAACAUCAUCAUGAGUCAAAUACUGGUAAUGACCUGUUUUCAAGAGCAGCUUUUACAAGUUGGGUUUUUUCCCCAUAUAGGGUCAUCAUCACUGAGAGCUAGCCAAAGGGAUUCUUAAAGGGGAAGAGCCUUCCCCAUAUAAGGUCAUCAUCACUGAGAGCUAGCCAAAGGGAUUCUUAAAGGGGAAGAGCCUUCCCCAUAUAAGGUCAUCAUCACUGAGAGCUAGCCAAAGGGAUUCUUAAAGGGGAAGAGCCUUCCCCAUAUAAG
This is a long non-coding RNA of Oncorhynchus tshawytscha (Chinook salmon), 2556 nucleotides long. The record is from Ensembl. Lineage: Eukaryota; Metazoa; Chordata; Actinopteri; Salmoniformes; Salmonidae.